CAGUUAUUGUAAUGGUGUACAGUGACAUAGAGCACAAUAGCAUAUGCAAUGUGCUGCAUAGAUGAGGACGAUGAUGUAAUUACAGUGGUUACACCAUUGAGGACAAAUAAGUCAUUACAGUGUUUAUACU
Haliotis rubra (blacklip abalone) is the source of this 130-nucleotide long non-coding RNA. RefSeq lists it as uncharacterized. Lineage: Eukaryota; Metazoa; Mollusca; Gastropoda; Lepetellida; Haliotidae. The transcript has 3 exons. The record is from RefSeq and is a predicted model, not a curated record.